GUGCUCACUUUGACAGCACAUAUACUGAGACUGGACUGGCAGAGAAGAUUAGCACCACCCCUGUGUGGGGAUGACACUUAAAUUCAUGAAGUGUUCCAUAUUAAA
Phyllostomus discolor (pale spear-nosed bat) is the source of this 105-nucleotide small nuclear RNA. Lineage: Eukaryota; Metazoa; Chordata; Mammalia; Chiroptera; Phyllostomidae. The record is from RefSeq and is a predicted model, not a curated record.